AGCUUUGUGCAGCUGCAGUAUCGUAGCCAGUAAGGUUUAUCCAAGGUGGGAUUAUUGCUAAUCAAAAACUUUUCCCAAUACCCCAUCAUGAUGACUUGGAAUACAGUCAGCAUUGGCAGUUUUUGACAGUUUCAAUGGAGUCUGAAA
Cavia porcellus (domestic guinea pig) is the source of this 147-nucleotide small nuclear RNA. Its record names the gene U4. It matches the Rfam family "U4 spliceosomal RNA". Rfam says of the family: U4 small nuclear RNA (U4 snRNA) is a component of the major U2-dependent spliceosome. The record is from Ensembl. Lineage: Eukaryota; Metazoa; Chordata; Mammalia; Rodentia; Caviidae.